This 256-nucleotide ribosomal RNA is filed under the name uncultured bacterium. RNAcentral's name for it is "partial 16S ribosomal RNA". It matches the Rfam family "Bacterial small subunit ribosomal RNA", at positions 524 to 776 of the family's 1533-position model. The record is from RNAcentral.
UACGGGGGGGAGCAAGCGUUGUUCGGAUUUACUGGGCGUAAAGGGCGCGUAGGCGGUGCGGUAAGUCACCUGUGAAAUCUCCUGGCUCAACUGGGAGCUUGCAGGCGAAACUGCCGUGCUGGAGUGUGGGAGAGGUGCGUGGAAUUCCCGGUGUAGCGGUGAAAUGCGUAGAUAUCGGGGAGGAACACCUGUGGCGAAAGCGGCGCACUGGACCACAACUGACGCUGAGGCGCGAAAGCUAGGGGGAGCAAACAGG